RNAcentral lists this ribosomal RNA (496 nucleotides) under uncultured bacterium. Its description in RNAcentral is "partial 16S ribosomal RNA". It matches the Rfam family "Bacterial small subunit ribosomal RNA", at positions 29 to 507 of the family's 1533-position model. The record is from RNAcentral.
AUGAACUCUGGCGGCGUGCCUCAUCCCUGCCAGUCGCGCGAACAGACGAGGAGCUUGCUCCUCUGACGUUAGCGGCGGACGGGUUAGUAACACGUGGAUAACCUACCUAUAAGACUGGGAUAACUUCGGGAAACCGGAGCUAAUACCGGAUAAUAUAUUGAACCGCAUGGUUCCAUAGUGAAAGACGGUUUUGCUGUCACUUAUAGAUGGAUCCGCGCCGCAUUAGCUAGUUGGUAAGGUAACGGCUUACCCAGGCGACGAUGCGUAGCCGACCUGAGAGGGUGAUCGGCCACACUGGAACUGAGACACGGUCCAGACUCCUACGGGAGGCAGCAGUAGGGAAUCUUCCGCAAUGGGCGAAAGCCUGACGGAGCAACGCCGCGUGAGUGAUGAAGGUCUUCGGAUCGUAAAACUCUGUUAUUAGGGAAGAACAAAUGUGUAAGUAACUAUGCACGUCUUGACGGUACCUAAUCAGAAAGCCACGGCUAACUACGUG